This 977-nucleotide long non-coding RNA is filed under the name Capsicum annuum. Its description in RNAcentral is "long non-coding RNA (CANN_LNC016647)". The record is from RNAcentral. Lineage: Eukaryota; Viridiplantae; Streptophyta; Magnoliopsida; Solanales; Solanaceae.
UUCUCAUGCUAUCGUUCAUUCCAAACAAAGCAUUGUCCAUGGGAUGGAGAAUUAUGAAUACUCCAUGAUACAAGGAAGUCCUCGUAAAAACUUUGAUCUCAUCGUUGCAGUUAGACGCAAGGAGGAGAACAACAGCCUUUUACCUCCAACCACAUUUUCGAGACAAACUUCUAGUUCUGAAUCUUCUGAUAGGGAUUCCAUCUCUACCGAACCAAAUAAAAAGGUAGGAAACAUCUCAUACUUUCGUUUUUCCAAAUACUGCGUAUUCUGAAAUACGCUAUAUAUAUGUUACAGGUUGCAACUAUAGCUCCUGCCCCUAUUGAGAGAGUCCCGUCGAAAACUAUAUAUCAAAGGUGUUGUCAAAUAUUGUACCUGGGGUGGAAGUGGUUUUCCGUUGAGAGGGUUCAUCUACCUAGCUACACCCUACAUCUGUGAGCUUCAUAGAGUUGUUUCUAACACUAUUUGAUGUUUUUUUUGUGCUUUUCUUGCAGAUAAGACUUAAUUAUCCAGAUGAGUUUCUAACUUCUCUGCAUGGAUACUAUGGUAGCUUGUACGAAAGGGAGGCAGUUUUUGUGCGAUCGCUUACAUUUGAAAGCAACAAAAGAACAUAUGGACCAUAUGGUGUCCAGCAAGGAACAUAUUUCACGUUGCCAAUUUCUAAGGGAAAAAUUGUUGGCUUCCAUGGAAAAUCUGGCUGGUAUCUUGCUGCUAUCGGAGUAUAUAUUGAGCCUAUUCAAAAAUCUUUACUGACUACUUCUCAUGCUAUCGUUCAUUCCAAACAAAGCAUUGUCCAUGGGAUGGAGAAUUAUGAAUACUCCAUGAUACAAGGAAGUCCUCGUAAAAACUUUGAUCUCAUCGUUGCAGUUAGACGCAAGGAGGAGAACAACAGCCUUUUACCUCCAACCACAUUUUCGAGACAAACUUCUAGUUCUGAAUCUUCUGAUAGGGAUUCCAUCUCUACCGAACCAAAUAAAAAG